RNAcentral lists this ribosomal RNA (468 nucleotides) under uncultured bacterium. Its description in RNAcentral is "partial 16S ribosomal RNA". It matches the Rfam family "Bacterial small subunit ribosomal RNA", at positions 28 to 507 of the family's 1533-position model. The record is from RNAcentral.
GACGAACGCUGGCGGCGUGCUUAACACAUGCAAGUCGAACGGAAAGGCCCUGCUUUUGUGGGGUGCUCGAGUGGCGAACGGGUGAGUAACACGUGAGUAACCUGCCCUUGACUUUGGGAUAACUUCAGGAAACUGGGGCUAAUACCGGAUAGGAGCUCCUGCUGCAUGGUGGGGGUUGGAAAGUUUCGGCGGUUGGGGAUGGACUCGCGGCUUAUCAGCUUGUUGGUGGGGUAGUGGCUUACCAAGGCUUUGACGGGUAGCCGGCCUGAGAGGGUGACCGGCCACAUUGGGACUGAGAUACGGCCCAGACUCCUACGGGAGGCAGCAGUGGGGAAUAUUGCAGAAUGGGCGGAAGCCUGAUGCAGCAACGCCGCGUGCGGGAUGACGGCCUUCGGGUGGUAAACCGCUUUCGCCUGUGACGAAGCGUGAGUGACGGUAAUGGGUAAAGAAGCACCGGCUAACUACGUG